RNAcentral lists this unclassified non-coding RNA (289 nucleotides) under Hevea brasiliensis (rubber tree). Lineage: Eukaryota; Viridiplantae; Streptophyta; Magnoliopsida; Malpighiales; Euphorbiaceae. The record is from RNAcentral.
UUAGUGCAUGUACUGGUUUUAAUGUUUUGUUAAUUUACACUGUUGAAUUGUUUCCAACUUGUGUUAGAAAUUCAGCAGUGUCAAUGGUGAGACAGGCAUUGGUACUUGGUGGUGCAAUUAGUCCAAUGUUGGUGGCUUUUGGGAGAAAAAAUAGAUGGUUUUCUUAUGGAGUUUUUGGGAUUUGUAUAGCAAUUUGUGGAUUGUUUGUGUUGUGUUUGCCAGAAACUAAAGGAAGGACAUUGAGUGAUACUAUGGAUGAAGAGGAGUACAAUGAAAGUGUAUUUGUUUG